This 497-nucleotide ribosomal RNA is filed under the name uncultured bacterium. RNAcentral's name for it is "partial 16S ribosomal RNA". It matches the Rfam family "Bacterial small subunit ribosomal RNA", at positions 28 to 507 of the family's 1533-position model. The record is from RNAcentral.
GAUGAACGCUGGCGGCGUGCCUAAUACAUGCAAGUCGAGCGAACAGAUCAGGAGUUUGCUCCUCUGACGUUAGCGGCGGAGGGGUGAGUAACACGUGGUUAACCUACCUAUAAGACUGGGAUAACUUCGGGAAACCGGAGCUAAUACCGGAUAAUAUAUUGAACUGAAUGGUUCAAUAGUCAAAUACGGUUUUGCUGUCACUUAAAGAUGGAUCCGCGCCGCAGUAGCUAGUUGGUAAGGUAACGGAUUACCAAGGCAACGAUGCGUAGCCGACCUCAGAGGGUGGUCGGGCAGCUUGGAACAGAGGAAGGGUCCACACUCUGAGGCGAAGACACAGUCGAGAAUCCUCCGGGAAGGGCUAGAGCGUGACCGUGCAACAGCGCGGAAGUGCUGAAGAAGUUCUGACGGGUGAAAGGUGAAAUUAGGAGAAAACAAAUAUGCAAGUACCGGUGCACAUAUUGACGGUACCAAGACAGAAAGCCACGGCUAACUACGUG